GUGCUUGCUUUGGCAGCACACAUACUAAAAUUGGAAUGAUACAGAGAAGAUUAGCAUGGCCCUGUGCAAGGAUGAUACACAAAUUCAUGAAGUGUUUCAUAUUUGA
Small nuclear RNA from Peromyscus californicus insignis, 106 nucleotides. Lineage: Eukaryota; Metazoa; Chordata; Mammalia; Rodentia; Cricetidae. The record is from RefSeq and is a predicted model, not a curated record.